UACGGAAGAUCCAAGCGUUAUCCGGAAUUACUGGGCGUAAAGAGUUGCGUAGGUGGCAUAGUAAGUAGAUGGUGAAAUCCUGGGGCUCAACCCUUUAAACAUUAUCUAAACUGCUAAGCUAGAGGGCGAGAGAGGUAGCUAGAAUUCCUAGUGUAGGAGUGAAAUCCGUAGAUAUUAGGAGGAAUACCGAUGGCGUAGGCAGGCUACUGGCUCGUCCCUGACACUAAGGCACGAAAGCGUGGGGAGCGACCGGG
RNAcentral lists this ribosomal RNA (254 nucleotides) under uncultured bacterium. RNAcentral describes it as "partial 16S ribosomal RNA". It matches the Rfam family "Bacterial small subunit ribosomal RNA", at positions 524 to 776 of the family's 1533-position model. The record is from RNAcentral.